This 409-nucleotide ribosomal RNA is filed under the name bacterium. Its description in RNAcentral is "partial 16S ribosomal RNA". It matches the Rfam family "Bacterial small subunit ribosomal RNA", at positions 355 to 776 of the family's 1533-position model. The record is from RNAcentral.
UGGGGAAUAUUGCACAAUGGGGGAAACCCUGAUGCAGCAACGCCGCGUGCGGGAUGACGGCCUUCGGGUUGUAAACCGCUUUCAGCCAUGACGAAGCUUUUGUGACGGUAGUGGCAGAAGAAGCACCGGCUAACUACGUGCCAGCAGCCGCGGUGAUACGUAGGGUGCGAGCGUUGUCCGGAAUUAGUGGGCGUAAAGAGCUUGUAGGCGGUUUGUCGCGUCGAAAGUGUAAACUCAGUGCUUAACGCUGAGCCUGCUUUCGAUACGGGCUGACUAGAGGAAGGUAGGGGAGAAUGGAAUUCCCGGUGGAGCGGUGGAAUGCGCAGAUAUCGGGAGGAACACCAGUGGCGAAGGCGGUUCUCUGGACCUUUCCUGACGCUGAGAAGCGAAAGCGUGGGUAGCAAACAGG